Molecule: long non-coding RNA, 635 nt
Organism: Nomascus leucogenys (northern white-cheeked gibbon)
Lineage: Eukaryota; Metazoa; Chordata; Mammalia; Primates; Hylobatidae
Exons: 3
Source: RefSeq, a predicted model, not a curated record
UGGUGCCAAGGUUGUCUGGCUAUUUAUCUUACUUUUGUUUCUUUCCAACUCUUUGCUUUCUCUCUUUCCUCCUGUCUUGUGAACUAGGCAAGGUGGACAGCAGGAGUAGCAGUGGUCUCCUUCCUUACCAGGUGGACCCCUUCUGAACCUCAACAGUGGUGACUGGUGGUUUCUGUAAUGAAAUUUCAAUUUGACCCUCAUCUGAGAAGAGUGUCUGGUAACGUAAAGCUCAGGACCUGCGCCCGAUCUCUCACGAAAGCUUAUGUCCAAUUUCCGUCUGGUGCCAGCCCACUCGAAGGACAGCUAAAUGUCUAGGAAAGUCCUACUGGCAGUGUAGCGAUGAGACUGCCGUUCCAGGGGGUAAGGAAGAGGCACAAGACGGGGCCGUUGUGCAGACUUCUAAAGAAGGAACUCGUGUUAUUAAAACUGAGCUCAUUGCCUCUGUUGACAUUUGCGGAGGGAUGACCACGCCAGCUACCAAAGAAGAGACAACAUCCAGCAGCAGCCACUCCCGCAGGACUCCAGGGAACAAGGACGGAAUGAGAAUUGAGAAGCAGAGCUGAGCUGUGACUGAAGCACUGGGCUGGCUACCACACAGCAUCCCUGUGACACUCAGAUGCCAGCUAACGUGUUCU